CAAUUUUCCGUACAAAUUUACGAUUGGCACCGUUUGUUUCGCGCCAAUAGUUAUGUGUUUCAAUCAAAAUCAUGGGUGUAAUGAGCCAUGCAAUCGACCAGUUCAUGUAUCCAACGAGCUGCAGCCGCUGCCGCAGGACCACCAGCAGUACCAGCGGCUGUACCGUUUAUUGCUUCGGGUCAAUUGAUACACCGAAUACUAAUAAAUUGGCAAUGACCUCAUAUUCUUUCUCAAUACAAUCGCAUUCUCACCGAAACAACAUCACAAAAUUAAAUUUACACCAG
Sitodiplosis mosellana (orange wheat blossom midge) is the source of this 284-nucleotide long non-coding RNA. RefSeq lists it as uncharacterized. NCBI's taxonomy places the organism in Eukaryota, Metazoa, Arthropoda, Insecta, Diptera, Cecidomyiidae. The record is from RefSeq and is a predicted model, not a curated record. The transcript is spliced from 3 exons.